This is a long non-coding RNA of Gossypium raimondii (Peruvian cotton), 727 nucleotides long. RefSeq lists it as uncharacterized. The record is from RefSeq and is a predicted model, not a curated record. NCBI's taxonomy places the organism in Eukaryota, Viridiplantae, Streptophyta, Magnoliopsida, Malvales, Malvaceae. The transcript is spliced from 4 exons.
GGCAUAGCAGCCAGGGGAGGGCAGGGAGAAGAAAAACAACACAUACACACACAGCGGAAUUAGAUUAAUUGAGAAAAACGCAAUGGCUCAAAAGAUGUUGAUGAUGGCGGUUCUUGUGAUAUUGGGGACGACGAUGGCGACCGUUACGGUUGCAAAUCCGACUUGUUUGCAGAGCUUGAUGUCUUGUGCUCCUUACUUCAACAACACUGAUGUCCAACUGCCAGACGAUUGCUGUAAACCUCUCCAACAAGCCGUCGCUACUGAACUUAUUUGCCUUUGCAGCCUCUUCAACCUGCCUUCUUUGCUUAGUUCUUUUGACAUCCCCUACGUUGGAGCUCUUAGGAUCGCCAAUCAGUGCGGUGUCGUUGAUAUAAUCAGCGACUGCAUCAGCGCUCCUUCUCCUGCUCCUUCCCCAUAAGCUACUUCUUCCACAUCUGCUCCACCCCUCACCAGGAGGUGAAAGCGCAGGUGUUGACAAGAUUGCUUUGUCAGGAAUCAUCACUUUGUUCUUAUGUUUAGCAUGGAUCAUUGUGUACUAUGGUAACGUAUUUCCUACAUGAGUUGAAGGGGAAUUUCAUCUUAGAACAAAUAAUAAAGACAACAUUCAGAUGUAGACAUUUCGAGUUUAGAUUAUCUUGAGAUUUCUAUUGUCUGAUUCUCUCUCUAUAUAUUUAUUUGUAUGCUUGUUUGGUCAAUAAUAUUGUUAGCAUAUAUGUUAUUUAUUCAA